Long non-coding RNA from Halichondria panicea, 779 nucleotides. RefSeq lists it as uncharacterized. The transcript has 3 exons. NCBI's taxonomy places the organism in Eukaryota, Metazoa, Porifera, Demospongiae, Suberitida, Halichondriidae. The record is from RefSeq and is a predicted model, not a curated record.
GCUCCAGUUGUUCGAAAAGAGUGACUGACAGUAUCAACACAACACAGACACCACUCUCUUGAUAAUUAUUUCCUGGUGAGCCAUGAAGACAAUCAUCCUAACUCUUGUGAUGGUGAUGAUGCUCGGACUCAGCAUCAAAGCUGCAGCAAUUGAUGAAGUGUUAGCACACCUACAAGCCAAUCAGGUGGACUUGUCCGAAAUAGAGGAGGGUAAAGUGGUACAAGAAGAGGAAGAAGUGGAAAAGCAGGGAGCUGGAAUCAAGAUUCUUUAUGCCUACUAUGGUCUCUCCUGUGCAAGGGGUUCACUCCGAAAAAAUGUUCAAGUUAGAAGCACUGCAUAUGCCAAAAGCAAAUGCGAGGGAAAGCAGUCUUGCAGGGCACUGGUGCAUACUCGAUUCCUUACUGAUCCCUACAGAGGAUGUGCAAAAGAUUUCAUUGUUGUUGCAAGUUGCAAGAAUGGCGCAGAGAUAAUUUCCAGUCAUGUUACCAGAGAAGCUCAAGGGAAAUACUUUAGCCUGAAAUGCAGCGGUAGUACUGGUGGUGGUGGCUGCUAACUGCAUUGAACGAUGUGUAUAACUUAAUUAGAUUGCAUGAAUAGUUGCAUGUAUAGAUAAUUUGCUUGCAUAUAUAAUUAUUAGCUUAGUUAUAUAUACAGACUGUGGGCACAUUUUAGUGCAUUGUAAGACUGAGUGAUUCAUUGAAGACAACUUAGGAUUUUGUAAUCAAUAAUCUGUAUAAUUGUAUGGGCUAUUAUGUUAUGAGACAUCAACAUUUUUUGGA